Molecule: ribosomal RNA, 135 nt
Filed under: uncultured bacterium
Lineage: Bacteria
Also listed under: 1 other name
Description: partial 16S ribosomal RNA
Rfam family: Bacterial small subunit ribosomal RNA
Source: RNAcentral
UGGGGAAUAUUGGACAAUGGGCGCAAGCCUGAUCCAGCCAUGCCGCGUGAGUGAUGAAGGCCUUAGGGUUGUAAAGCUCUUUUGUCCGGGACGAUAAUGACGGUACCGGAAGAAUAAGCCCCGGCUAACUUCGUG